This 1420-nucleotide long non-coding RNA is filed under the name Capsella rubella. Its description in RNAcentral is "long non-coding RNA (CRUB_LNC002584)". The record is from RNAcentral. Lineage: Eukaryota; Viridiplantae; Streptophyta; Magnoliopsida; Brassicales; Brassicaceae.
GUAACUAGGUGUUUUCUGAAAAUAUUACAUCACAUCCAUAAGGAAACAUAAUAUAACUUCGAGUUACUAUGAUCUCUGCCUUCAUUGAUCACCUAUAAAUUACAUUUAGUACUUAGAUAUAAGGACAAUGAUUGUAGUAAAAAAAAAACUGAUACAAAUAUAAAUAAAACCUAUAUCUAAGCAAAUGGUGGAUAAUAAAUGCAAUCAGCUAAGAAAAGUAAGCCCCAACACAGAGUCUUGAACCAGCGCCAAAGGGAACAUAAAAUUUUAGAUAUAAUCGCCUCCAAGUCUUUCCCCUGUUAAUAAAGUUUAAUACAUGUAGAGUAGGAAUCUGGACAAUUGUUCCUUUGUCUCACUGUUCACUUUCUCUCUCGAGAAAAAAGUUUCAGAUCUACUUUUUCUUUUUAUUUUCGUUUUGCCCUGUUCUUCAUGUAGGUCCUGAGCCUUCAAAGGAGUAGCGAAAUCAAGAGUGAGACUUCUUUCUCUUCCGUCAGCUAAGCGGUGGGUUUCUAACAAGCGAUGCGACAGCGACGCAUCCACGGUGGCUGGGAUUCUUUGCCUCUAUAUCAUCGGUUUGAAGACGCCGUGAUGGUUAAAGACUCCCUUGGCUCCUCUGUCGUGGGUGUUUGUUGUGGUCGUGGCGGAAGUUGCUUGUUGGAAGGAGGGUAAGUUAGCUGUCCCUUUGGUAAUUAGCGGUGGAUCUCUUGAUCUUCACCGGCUGUCGUGGAUCUCGGUUUUGGAGGGGGACUGAGCCUUUAACCCUCCUUAAUCUCCUCGAUUAGCUUUUUAAUCAAACCGGUUUGUGUUUGUUUGUCUCGGGUGGUGGUUGUUAUUAACUCUAGGAAGGUGACUGAGGGUUAGGCUUGUUUCGUUGAGUUGCUAGGUAGGGGACUCUUCGUUCACGAAAACCAGCUAGUCGGAAGUUGGGUGUUCCUGGGAGGUGUGUUGCAGAGUUGCGGUUCGCUUGAGUUGACCCGGAGACGGACCCGUAUACUCUGUUUCCAUGAGUAUUUCUUGGGCGGUCAGGCAUCAAAGCAGUCCGCCUCGUAUACGCCGGAUAUGGAUACCGGAGCUUCUGCGGCGGGUCGAUCAGUGCAAGCAAGAUCUUGGCGGCCAGAUUAGGGCGAACGCUCUCUUUUCCUGUUUGAUUUCGGUAAUCCAAAGAUGCCUAAGAAACCAAAUUUCAUGCUCAUUUGUAAUUGGAAACAUAUUAGUCAUAUUUAUAAUGGUUUUGAACUCUUGUAUAAACAUUUUCCCUUUAUCAAUUGAGUUAUAUACGUCCGUUUUCCAAAUUUUAAAUUUCAAAAUGUGUGAAAAAAAAUUUGUAUUUUUAUUAUAAAUAUUUUUUAUGUAAUAAUAUAAAUGGAAAAUAAAUAAGAUUAUAUAAAUAUAUUGGAGAGAGAUUCAAAUUAUUAGAGAG